Molecule: long non-coding RNA, 1556 nt
Organism: Pseudopipra pipra
Lineage: Eukaryota; Metazoa; Chordata; Aves; Passeriformes; Pipridae
Exons: 3
Source: RefSeq, a predicted model, not a curated record
AAACAACCUGGCCCCCCCGCCUCCUCCUGACGUCCCCUUAUCCUUUGGCAUGGAAGGCUGAGAAAGCCGACAUCCUGCCAGCAUCACUGUAGCAGCAACAGCCCUGCACAAAGCACUACAACACAUUUUUGGGGGUUAAAACAGAAAAGGAGCAGGGGAAACAAAUAAAAUAAAUAUUUUUUAAAAAAGCUGUUCUAUCCCUUUUGAUUUUGAUGGUACCUACUAGAAUUACUACCUCAAAGCACUAGAUAUGAGCCUAGCAGGACAAUUCCAGCAAGUCCUUCAGCCCCUCAGUCUGUUCAGGACAGAAGCACUGUUAUCAAAGCUAUCCUCGAACAGGUAUUAGGGUCAGGCUCUUUCCAUAAGGCUCACCAAAAUCUGUGCCUACGCCUGUAGCCGGGAAUGACGUUCAACCCAGUGUAAAAUCUCUUCAUUUUUCCUUUUCGAAUACGCAGCUACUACGAAAUUCACACCCCUCCUCCGGGAAAAACGAAACGCGAAGACUGAAAGUGCACGAUCUUCCCAGAAAGAGGGUAAGGUCUGACUGACUUGCGCUCGGGGGAGACCCCCAGAGCUCCCCUGGGACCGCCCCCGCCGGGAGGCACGGCCGGGCCGCCCGAAGAGGCUGGGGCAGGGGUCGCGGCACGCAGCCCCCCCGCGGCCGCCGCGGGACCAGCCCCACGCCCCGUCCCGAGUGCGGUCGGGGCGAGCGGUGCGACAGCGACGGACCCUCGGCGUGCUAGGCCUUAUUAAAAUACUGCUCAGAUGACAUACGAAUAAGCCAGAACAAUCCUCCUCCAAUUGAAUAAAAACAUUCUCCCAGCACACAGAAGCAAGAACUAAACUUCAGCCAUUUCCUCUCAUUGAGGCUUGACUUUGAGAAGGAGACAAGGCUGUAUGGGCCUGCUAUCAGGAGGGCAAGAAGGCUCUGUGAGAAGGUGGACCACAGAUGUUCCCUUCUUGUCUACCAUCAGCCUUCCCAUCACACUUCUGAGCAAUGGUGGUCUUGGGAAAGAUACUCUCUGGGUUUACCAAUCUCCUGGAGCUGAUGAACACAGCAGAAGGAGGGUGAGAUCCAUGGGUGGAACCACGCCACUUUUCUCAGACAAAGAGCUGGCCACAGAGUGUGUUUCAAAACAGAUUAACAAAAACAACAGCUACACACCAUGACAAAGUGCAUGUGGUGGAAAUAAAAAUAUUUACCCACAGAUUAUCACAGAUCUAGCAAUGUGACUACCGUGCAUCUAGGACCAAAGGAUUCAAAAUAGUGACUGUAUGUUUAGAGCUAAUUAGGGAAUCUGGUAGGGUUGGUCCGAAGGACCACUUUUUAAUCUUCUAAGAGUACAGUUGUCAUUUCUUCACCUCUCCUACCUCAGGGUGGUGAAAUAACAGUCUUUUCAUACCUAUGUGUUGGGUGGGGGAGGGAAGAAUUCCUCUGCUAUUAAACACAACUUCUCAUUAAAUAGUUGACACCUUAUCCUUCUUUAAAUGUUGUAAUGUUUACUUUGCAAAACCCAGGAAAGCUUUUAAAAUAAAGAUAGCAGAGAGAUUCUUAA